GGCAAUGAUGCAACUUGUGUCUUACACUCUCUUCAGUGACGUUGCCUGCUGUCAUUAAAACUGGUUCAGAAGACUGACAAAAAUUGUCACUGAGCA
Molecule: small nucleolar RNA, 96 nt
Organism: Nannospalax galili (Upper Galilee mountains blind mole rat)
Lineage: Eukaryota; Metazoa; Chordata; Mammalia; Rodentia; Spalacidae
Gene: SNORD16
Rfam family: Small nucleolar RNA SNORD16
About the family: U16 is a member of the C/D class of snoRNA which contain the C (UGAUGA) and D (CUGA) box motifs. U81 acts as a guanine methylation guide and is found in an intron of ribosomal proteins L1 gene in animals. This snoRNA was independently named MBII-98 in mouse.
Source: Ensembl